Labrus bergylta (ballan wrasse) is the source of this 1736-nucleotide non-coding RNA. The record is from RefSeq and is a predicted model, not a curated record. Lineage: Eukaryota; Metazoa; Chordata; Actinopteri; Labriformes; Labridae.
UGCUCAGUGUCUGCUUUGCUCUUCAUAUUUCAUUUGUAAUAAAGAAACAUCAUCAGUGUGUCUCUUGUUGCAGGGAUCAAAUGUGGCAACGUCUGCAGGGAGUGAUGGGCAUCGUUUUUCGGCCCGUCUCCCACCUGAUCAGAUGAAGAGGAGGAAGAGGAGACUAAAUCAGUGAUCUAAAAGUCUGAACUUUGUGUCUGGACUUUGGGCUGACUGGUUGUUUGAAAACCAUGUUGAGUAUAAUGAUCUGUAGCUCUUUUUGUGACAGCUUGAUUUGGAUACUUAUGGAUAAAACAAAUGUAAAUGAUAAGAUUUGUUAGUGACAUAAGAUGAUGAAGUCAACUCAGCCUUAAAAACAACUGUUGUUUUCUAUUAUCUUACUGUCAUCUGUGUACUCAUUCUUUAAUUUUCUCUGCUGGGAUUCUUUUGAUUGAUUGAAGUCUUUAUUUCAAAUUUGUAUUUUCUUUUCCCCCCCUUUGUUUCAGGAUAAAAAAACAAACAAAACAGAUCCACAAAAAGAAAAGUAAAUAAGACAACAGAACAUUUGAAUUUCAUGUUCGUAAAGAAGUGGGAAGAAGUGUGAAUUUAUAGAAUCCCACCCCCUCUCUGUUAAUCUGUAGUUAAUAGUUGAACAGGCUUCCUUAUUUAAUCUUCAUUUACGAAUAAAUAAAUAACGAAUCUGCAAUACACAUUUAUAUAUAUAAACCAAUAAACAUACAAAAUAUAUAAAUUAAAUACAAAUGUGUUUCUGCAAAAUAUAAUUUCAUUUAUCAACCAUGCACAGGUGUAAUUAAUUUAUACUUGUCCAAGAUGGGCACACCUCCAUCGCAGUAGAGAGUCUAUCAUUGUUUGUCUAUCAUUUAUCAACCAUUGACAUAUUUGAACAUGUAUUGAUUUCUUUUAUCUUCCAUAUUCAUGUUCUUCUCCCUUAAUUAAUGAUAUACAGUUUGUAGUAAUACAUUUAAGUUAGUGUUUUUUCUCCAUUACCUAUUUACCCUUCACCAUACCUGUCAACAUAUUUACAUAUAUACCUUCAUUCCUUUUAGAAAAACUAACAUAAGAAAAAAAUUAACAACCGUUAUAAUCACCAUCAUAACCACGCAGCAAAUGUUUAGUCCCUUCUGCAUCCUUAUACUUUCUGAAAAUGUUUUUAUUUUUUUUGUACAUUUUGUAAAACUUGUUUGUGCUUGGACUUGGCUUCAGCUCCACAUUUAAACUGUUACAAAGUUUUAUGCCAACAAUAGAAAUAGAAAAACUUCUGAAUGUUGUGCGUGUGGCCAGAAUUUUGAGAUUCAGUUGUCUCCAUAUUGUAACCCCCCUCUCUAUCAAAGAAUAGUUUUGGGAUAUUUGCUGGUAGUAAAUAGUUUUUUUUCUUUCUACAGUAUUUGUGCUAUUUGAAAUUCUGUGAGUUUGAGUGUUUUUGACUGCAAGAAUAAUGAGUGAGUGUGAUCCCGAUAUCCAGCAUUAUGAACGAAGCCUAUGGCUCUUUUCUGAAGUACGGAGAGUGAGUGCGCUUAACUUUUAUAUGUGUUGCCCCGAACCUCCUCACAGUAACUUAAAUAUGGUAAAACAAGUGUACUGUAGAGGGUAUGGAGAGAUUUGUGAUUUAUUUAUCUAUUGUUACCCCAACAAAUGUGUAUACAUAAACUAUUUAAAUGCUGACACCAUCUAUUUGUAGCUGUAUUUUUGUGUUUGCUUUAUAUUUACCAAAUAAAAUAAUUUUUAUGUGAUUCAAA